UAUUUUAUCUCUGCGCUUCAUCCACCUUGUUCAGAAAAAAAAAACAGAGUUUGGAACCAAAGAGGUUGACAACAUGGAGGAGUGAUCGUAUUUGUAGAGUUCUACACCAUUCUUUAUGAUCGUACUGUCUUUCUUGAGGAGAUGGUUUCCAAUGCAGGCCCUAUGCAUAGUACACAGCUAGAAGUUAUGGAGUAUUGACUGUAUUUG
This 207-nucleotide long non-coding RNA is filed under the name Brassica napus (rape). RNAcentral's name for it is "long non-coding RNA (BNAP_LNC014580)". Lineage: Eukaryota; Viridiplantae; Streptophyta; Magnoliopsida; Brassicales; Brassicaceae. The record is from RNAcentral.